RNAcentral lists this ribosomal RNA (177 nucleotides) under uncultured bacterium. RNAcentral describes it as "partial 16S ribosomal RNA". It matches the Rfam family "Bacterial small subunit ribosomal RNA", at positions 355 to 524 of the family's 1533-position model. The record is from RNAcentral.
UAGGGAAUCUUCCGCAAUGGACGAAAGUCUGACGGAGCAACGCCGCGUGAGCGAAGAAGGCCUUCGGGUCGUAAAGCUCUGUUGUUAGGGAAGAACAAGUAUCGGAGUAACUGACGGUACCUUGACGGUACCUAACCAGAAAGCCACGGCUAACUACGUGCCAGCAGCCGCGGUAAU